This 2652-nucleotide ribosomal RNA is filed under the name Klebsiella pneumoniae. RNAcentral describes it as "bacterial LSU rRNA". It matches the Rfam family "Bacterial large subunit ribosomal RNA", at positions 1 to 2316 of the family's 2925-position model. Lineage: Bacteria; Pseudomonadati; Pseudomonadota; Gammaproteobacteria; Enterobacterales; Enterobacteriaceae. The record is from RNAcentral.
UUAAGCGACUAAGCGUACACGGUGGAUGCCCUGGCAGUCAGAGGCGAUGAAGGACGUGCUAAUCUGCGAAAAGCGUCGGUAAGGUGAUAUGAACCGUUAUAACCGGCGAUGUCCGAAUGGGGAAACCCAGUGCAAUUCGUUGCACUAUCGUUAACUGAAUACAUAGGUUAACGAGGCGAACCGGGGGAACUGAAACAUCUAAGUACCCCGAGGAAAAGAAAUCAACCGAGAUUCCCCCAGUAGCGGCGAGCGAACGGGGAGCAGCCCAGAGUCUGAAUCAGCUUGUGUGUUAGUGGAACGGUCUGGAAAGUCCGACGGUACAGGGUGAUAGUCCCGUACACCAAAAUGCACAGGUUGUGAACUCGAAGAGUAGGGCGGGACACGUGGUAUCCUGUCUGAAUAUGGGGGGACCAUCCUCCAAGGCUAAAUACUCCUGACUGACCGAUAGUGAACCAGUACCGUGAGGGAAAGGCGAAAAGAACCCCGGCGAGGGGAGUGAAAAAGAACCUGAAACCGUGUACGUACAAGCAGUGGGAGCACCUUCGGGUGUGACUGCGUACCUUUUGUAUAAUGGGUCAGCGACUUAUAUUCUGUAGCAAGGUUAACCGUAUAGGGGAGCCGCAGGGAAACCGAGUCUUAACUGGGCGUUAAGUUGCAGGGUAUAGACCCGAAACCCGGUGAUCUAGCCAUGGGCAGGUUGAAGGUUGGGUAACACUAACUGGAGGACCGAACCGACUAAUGUUGAAAAAUUAGCGGAUGACUUGUGGCUGGGGGUGAAAGGCCAAUCAAACCGGGAGAUAGCUGGUUCUCCCCGAAAGCUAUUUAGGUAGCGCCUCGUGAACUCAUCUUCGGGGGUAGAGCACUGUUUCGGCUAGGGGGUCAUCCCGACUUACCAACCCGAUGCAAACUACGAAUACCGAAGAAUGUUAUCACGGGAGACACACGGCGGGUGCUAACGUCCGUCGUGAAGAGGGAAACAACCCAGACCGCCAGCUAAGGUCCCAAAGUCAUGGUUAAGUGGGAAACGAUGUGGGAAGGCACAGACAGCCAGGAUGUUGGCUUAGAAGCAGCCAUCAUUUAAAGAAAGCGUAAUAGCUCACUGGUCGAGUCGGCCUGCGCGGAAGAUGUAACGGGGCUAAACCAUGCACCGAAGCUGCGGCAGCGACACUAUGUGUUGUUGGGUAGGGGAGCGUUCUGUAAGCCUGCGAAGGUGUGCUGUGAGGCAUGCUGGAGGUAUCAGAAGUGCGAAUGCUGACAUAAGUAACGAUAAAGCGGGUGAAAAGCCCGCUCGCCGGAAGACCAAGGGUUCCUGUCCAACGUUAAUCGGGGCAGGGUGAGUCGACCCCUAAGGCGAGGCCGAAAGGCGUAGUCGAUGGGAAACAGGUUAAUAUUCCUGUACUUGGUGUUACUGCGAAGGGGGACGGAGAAGGCUAUGUUAGCCGGGCGACGGUUGUCCCGGUUUAAGCAUGUAGGCUGAUUGUCCAGGCAAAUCCGGAUAAUCAAGGCUGAGGUGUGAUGACGAGGCACUACGGUGCUGAAGUAACAAAUGCCCUGCUUCCAGGAAAAGCCUCUAAGCAUCAGGUAACAUCAAAUCGUACCCCAAACCGACACAGGUGGUCAGGUAGAGAAUACCAAGGCGCUUGAGAGAACUCGGGUGAAGGAACUAGGCAAAAUGGUGCCGUAACUUCGGGAGAAGGCACGCUGGUGUGUAGGUGAAGUCCCUGCGGAUGGAGCUGAGACCAGUCGAAGAUACCAGCUGGCUGCAACUGUUUAUUAAAAACACAGCACUGUGCAAACACGAAAGUGGACGUAUACGGUGUGACGCCUGCCCGGUGCCGGAAGGUUAAUUGAUGGGGUUAUCCGUAAGGAGAAGCUCUUGAUCGAAGCCCCGGUAAACGGCGGCCGUAACUAUAACGGUCCUAAGGUAGCGAAAUUCCUUGUCGGGUAAGUUCCGACCUGCACGAAUGGCGUAAUGAUGGCCAGGCUGUCUCCACCCGAGACUCAGUGAAAUUGAACUCGCUGUGAAGAUGCAGUGUACCCGCGGCAAGACGGAAAGACCCCGUGAACCUUUACUAUAGCUUGACACUGAACAUUGAGCCUUGAUGUGUAGGAUAGGUGGGAGGCUUUGAAGCUUCUUAAGCCUUUAUGCCAUCUCACCAAUAGUCUUACGAAAACGCAGCAACGCGAUAGUAAAGAACACUCCGCCGAUAGCCAGCAAGGUUAAGAACUGCGGCCAGACGAUGGCGAAGCUGGCGCCUCGAUACAAUAUCGCCUGCGCCAGGCUGACGAAGUGGGUGGUCGGCAUGGUCAACAUAAUAUCCUGUACCAGCUGCGGCAUACUUUCUCGCGGCGUGGAUCCGCCGGAGAGCAUCUGCAGCGGCAGUAAGACCAGGAUCAUCAGCAGCCCCAGCUGCGGCAUCGAGCGGGCGAGGGUGCCCAUAAAAAUGCCGAUCGAGGUCGUGGCGAACAGGCUGAGCGCCACCCCCAGCAUAAACAGGGGAAUCGACCCUUCAAUGGGCACCUGCAAAAUCCCCUGUACCAUCAGUAUCAGUGACAACCCGGAGACCACCAGCACCACCAGGCCCAUCGACCAGAUCUUGGCCAGCAUAAUUUCAAACGGCGUGAUCGGCAUCACCAGCAGAUGCUCAAUGG